RNAcentral lists this ribosomal RNA (252 nucleotides) under uncultured bacterium. Its description in RNAcentral is "partial 16S ribosomal RNA". It matches the Rfam family "Bacterial small subunit ribosomal RNA", at positions 15 to 257 of the family's 1533-position model. The record is from RNAcentral.
GAUCAUGGCUCAGGAUGGACGCUAGCUACAGGCUUAACACAUGCAAGUCGAGGGGCAUCAGUUUGGUUUGCUUGCAAACCAAAGCUGGCGACCGGCGCACGGGUGAGUAACACGUAUCCAACCUGCCCCAUACUCGGGGAUAGCCUUUCGAAAGAAAGAUUAAUAUCCGAUAGCAUAUAUUUCCCGCAUGGGUUUUAUAUUAAAGAAAUUCGGUAUGAGAUGGGGAUGCGUUCCAUUAGUUUGUUGGGGGGG